This 484-nucleotide ribosomal RNA is filed under the name uncultured bacterium. RNAcentral's name for it is "bacterial SSU rRNA". It matches the Rfam family "Bacterial small subunit ribosomal RNA", at positions 8 to 479 of the family's 1533-position model. The record is from RNAcentral.
AGAGUUUGAUCCUGGCUCAGGACGAACGCUGGCGGCGUGCUUAACACAUGCAAGUCGAACGAGAAAGCACCUUCGGGUGUGAGUACAGUGGCGAACGGGUGAGUAACACGUGGGCAACCUGCCCUGGAGACUGGGAUAACGUUCCGAAAGGGACGCUAAUACCGGAUAACGCGCGAUCUGCCAAGUGGAUCGCGCCAAAUGGUAGCUUCGGCUCCUACUCUGGGAUGGGCCCGCGCCGGAUUAGCUUGUUGGUGAGGUAACGGCUCACCAAGGCGACGAUCCGUAGCUGGUCUGAGAGGACGAUCAGCCACACUGGGACUGAGACACGGCCCAGACUCCUACGGGAGGCAGCAGUGGGGAAUCUUGCGCAAUGGGCGAAAGCCUGACGCAGCAACGCCGCGUGAGCGAAGACGGCCUUCGGGUUGUAAAGCUCUGUCAGGAGGGACGAAGCCACUCAGGUGAAUAGCCGAGAGGGUGACGUACC